UCCUUCGGUUCAUAAGCGUGGUGAUUGGGUGUUCACACUCUUGUGUGAGAUGUGCCUCCCUCUAAACCUUGUUAUGACAUCGGCACAUUACCCGUCUGAC
RNAcentral lists this small nucleolar RNA (100 nucleotides) under Marmota monax (woodchuck). It matches the Rfam family "Small nucleolar RNA U13". The record is from RNAcentral. Lineage: Eukaryota; Metazoa; Chordata; Mammalia; Rodentia; Sciuridae.